RNAcentral lists this ribosomal RNA (497 nucleotides) under uncultured bacterium. Its description in RNAcentral is "partial 16S ribosomal RNA". It matches the Rfam family "Bacterial small subunit ribosomal RNA", at positions 28 to 507 of the family's 1533-position model. The record is from RNAcentral.
GAUGAACGCUGGCGGCGUGCCUAAUACAUGCAAGUCGAGCGAACAGACGAGGAGCUUGCUCCUCUGACGUUAGCGGCGGACGGGUGAGUAACACGUGGAUAACCUACCUAUAAGACUGGGAUAACUUCGGGAAACCGGAGCUAAUACCGGAUAAUAUAUUGAACCGCAUGGUUCAAUAGUGAAAGACGGUUUUGCUGUCACUUAUAGAUGGAUCCGCGCCGCAUUAGCUAGUUGGUAAGGUAACGGCUUACCAAGGCAACGAUGCGUAGCCGACCUGAGAGGGUGAGCGGCCACACUGGAACGGAGGCACGGUCCAGACUCCUACGGGAGGCAGCAGUGGGGAAUCUUCCGCAAUGGGCGAAAGCCUGACGGAGCAACGCCGCGUGAGUGAUGAAGGUCUUCGGAUCGUAAAACUCUGUUAUUAGGGAAGAACAAAUGUGUAAGUAACUAUGCACGUCUUGACGGUACCUAAUCAGAAAGCCACGGCUAACUACGUG